CAGUAGCCGCGGUAACACGUAGGGUCCGAGCGUUGUCCGGAAUUACUGGGCGUAAAGAGCUCGUAGGUGGUUUGUCGCGUUGUUCGUGAAAACUCACAGCUCAACUGUGGGCGUGCGGGCGAUACGGGCAGACUAGAGUACUGCAGGGGAGACUGGAAUUCCUGGUGUAGCGGUGGAAUGCGCAGAUAUCAGGAGGAACACCGGUGGCGAAGACGGGUCUCUGGGCAGUAACUGACGCUGAGGAGCGAAAGCGUGGGGAGCGAACAGGAUUAGAUACCCCGGUAGUCCCUGUCUCUUAUAC
This 301-nucleotide ribosomal RNA is filed under the name uncultured bacterium. Its description in RNAcentral is "partial 16S ribosomal RNA". It matches the Rfam family "Bacterial small subunit ribosomal RNA", at positions 509 to 807 of the family's 1533-position model. The record is from RNAcentral.